AGACCCGAAACCCGGUGAUCUAGCCAUGGGCAGGUUGAAGGUUGGGUAACACUAACUGGAGGACCGAACCGACUAAUGUUGAAAAAUUAGCGGAUGACCUGUGGCUGGGGGUGAAAGGCCAAUCAAACCGGGAGAUAGCUGGUUCUCCCCGAAAGCUAUUUAGGUAGCGCCUCGUGAAUUCAUCUCCGGGGGUAGAGCACUGUUUCGGCUAGGGGGCCAUCCCGGCUUACCAACCCGAUGCAAACUGCGAAUACCGGAGAAUGUUAUCACGGGAGACACACGGCGGGUGCUAACGUCCGUCGUGAAGAGGGAAACAACCCAGACCGCCAGCUAAGGUCCCAAAGUCAUGGUUAAGUGGGAAACGAUGUGGGAAGGCCCAGACAGCCAGGAUGUUGGCUUAGAAGCAGCCAUCAUUUAAAGAAAGCGUAAUAGCUCACUGGUCGAGUCGGCCUGCGCGGAAGAUGUAACGGGGCUAAACCAUGCACCGAAGCUGCGGCAGCGACGCUUAUGCGUUGUUGGGUAGGGGAGCGUUCUGUAAGCCUGUGAAGGUGGCCUGUGAGGGUUGCUGGAGGUAUCAGAAGUGCGAAUGCUGACAUAAGUAACGAUAAAGCGGGUGAAAAGCCCGCUCGCCGGAAGACCAAGGGUUCCUGUCCAACGUUAAUCGGGGCAGGGUGAGUCGACCCCUAAGGCGAGGCCGAAAGGCGUAGUCGAUGGGAAACGGGUUAAUAUUCCCGUACUUGGUGUUACUGCGAAGGGGGGACGGAGAAGGCUAUGUUGGCCGGGCGACGGUUGUCCCGGUUUAAGCGUGUAGGCUGGUUUUCCAGGCAAAUCCGGAAAAUCAAGGCUGAGGCGUGAUGACGAGGCACUACGGUGCUGAAGCAACAAAUGCCCUGCUUCCAGGAAAAGCCUCUAAGCAUCAGGUAACAUCAAAUCGUACCCCAAACCGACACAGGUGGUCAGGUAGAGAAUACCAAGGCGCUUGAGAGAACUCGGGUGAAGGAACUAGGCAAAAUGGUGCCGUAACUUCGGGAGAAGGCACGCUGACACGUAGGUGAAGUGAUUUACUCAUGGAGCUGAAGUCAGUCGAAGAUACCAGCUGGCUGCAACUGUUUAUUAAAAACACAGCACUGUGCAAACACGAAAGUGGACGUAUACGGUGUGACGCCUGCCCGGUGCCGGAAGGUUAAUUGAUGGGGUCAGCGCAAGCGAAGCUCCUGAUCGAAGCCCCGGUAAACGGCGGCCGUAACUAUAACGGUCCUAAGGUAGCGAAAUUCCUUGUCGGGUAAGUUCCGACCUGCACGAAUGGCGUAAUGAUGGCCAGGCUGUCUCCACCCGAGACUCAGUGAAAUUGAACUCGCUGUGAAGAUGCAGUGUACCCGCGGCAAGACGGAAAGACCCCGUGAACCUUUACUAUAGCUUGACACUGAACAUUGAGCCUUGAUGUGUAG
This 1448-nucleotide ribosomal RNA is filed under the name Salmonella enterica subsp. enterica serovar Potsdam. RNAcentral describes it as "partial 23S ribosomal RNA". It matches the Rfam family "Bacterial large subunit ribosomal RNA", at positions 711 to 2141 of the family's 2925-position model. Lineage: Bacteria; Pseudomonadati; Pseudomonadota; Gammaproteobacteria; Enterobacterales; Enterobacteriaceae. The record is from RNAcentral.